AUUGAACGCUGGCGGCAUGCUUUACACAUGCAAGUCGAACGGCAGCGGGGGUGCUUGCACCUGCCGGCGAGUGGCGAACGGGUGAGUAAUGCAUCGGAACGUGCCCAGUCGUGGGGGAUAACUUGCCGAAAGGUAAGCUAAUACCGCAUACGUCCUGAGGGAGAAAGCGGGGGAUCUUCGGACCUCGCGCGAUUGGAGCGGCCGAUGUCAGAUUAGCUAGUUGGUGGGGUAAAGGCCUACCAAGGCGACGAUCUGUAGCGGGUCUGAGAGGAUGAUCCGCCACACUGGGACUGAGACACGGCCCAGACUCCUACGGGAGGCAGCAGUGGGGAAUAUUGGACAAUGGGCGCAAGCCUGAUCCAGCCAUGCCGCGUGAGUGAUGAAGGCCUUAGGGUUGUAAAGCUCUUUCGCCCGCGAAGAUAAUGACGGUAGCGGGAGAAGAAGCCCCGGCUAACUUCGUG
Molecule: ribosomal RNA, 461 nt
Filed under: uncultured bacterium
Lineage: Bacteria
Description: bacterial SSU rRNA
Rfam family: Bacterial small subunit ribosomal RNA
Source: RNAcentral